Oncorhynchus nerka (sockeye salmon) is the source of this 2184-nucleotide long non-coding RNA. RefSeq lists it as uncharacterized. Lineage: Eukaryota; Metazoa; Chordata; Actinopteri; Salmoniformes; Salmonidae. The transcript is spliced from 4 exons. The record is from RefSeq and is a predicted model, not a curated record.
CAGGUUCCGAAUGCUUAAGAAGACACUACAUACUACUGCUGUGUGUGGUAGUAGUGGGGUGUACUGUGGCUGUCGUAAGUCUGUUUGCCCAGAAAAACAAUCAAAUUGCACAGACACAGCAGUCAAAUAUUGAAACCUCUGCGGCAGAGAGAGAAGAGAUGAAGUCUCUGAAAUCAGAGGACUACAGCGUUCUUCUAAAUAUGAUUUUAAAGCAGGAAGGGUGGAAGUAUAUCAACUCGAGUUUGUACUACAUCUCUACUGAGACCAAGUCCUGGGGUGAGAGCAGACCUUACUGCCAACGGAAGGGAUUGGACCUGGUGACCAUAAACAGCAAAGACGAAGAGGACUUUCUCCUUGAAGUGGUCCGUGCAAAGCAUUUGGAUGUAGCCUGGAUUGGUUUUUCUCCCAACAACACAAAGGAGAUAUCUACACGGGUGAAGAGAGGUGCGGGGUCAGAAGAAGGUGCUCAGGAAGAGGACUGUGCUAAGCUUACGGUAUACGAGACACCUGCAGUGAAAGAACUAACCGGGAGACGAUGUGGGACAAAACAAUACUGUAUUUGUGAAAAAUACCUGGAUGUCAAAUACAAUGUAAGCAAGAGAAACCGUUAACUGGUUCUUCUGAAAGGAUUCGACUUUUUAAAAUGGAGGGAACGACUGCUAGCUUCAACGUUUCUUUUUAAAAAUGGAGGGAACAACUGCUAGCUUCAACUCUUCUUUUUAAAUGGAGGGAACAACUGCUAGCUUCAACUCUUCUUUUUUAAAUGGAGGGAACAACUGCUAGCUUCAACUCUUCCUUUUUAAAAAUGGAGGGAACAACUGCUAGCUUCAACUCUUCCUUUUUAAAAAUGGAGGGAACAACUGCUAGCUUCAACUCUUCCUUUUUAAAAAUGGAGGGAACAACUGCUAGCUUCAACUCUUCUUUUUUAAAAAUGGAGGGAACAACUGCUAGCUUCAACUCUUCCUUUUUAAAAAUGGAGGGAACGACUGCUAGCUUCAACUCUUCUUUUUUAAAAUGGAGGGAACAACUGCUAGCUUCAACUCUUCCUUUUUAAAAAUGGAGGGAACAACUGCUAGCUUCAACUCUUCCUUUUUAAAAAUGGAGGGAACAACUGCUAGCUUCAACUCUUCCUUUUUAAAUGGAGGGAACGACUGCUAGCUUCAACUCUUCUUUUUUUAAAUGGAGGGAACAACUGCUAGCUUCAACUCUUCUUUUUUAAAUGGCGGGAACGACUGCUAGCUUCAACCCUUCUUUUUAAAUGGAGGGAACGACUGCUAGCUUCAACUCUUCUUUUUAAAUGGAGGGAACAACUGCAUUUUCCAAGAAGCAACUGUUAGUCAUUCUAGUUAGGUUGGUGAGGGUUUUUUACCCUGAAAUACACAUCUGCACCGUAUAUUAAGAAAAGUUAAAAGGGUAGUUUUCUGUGGUAGGAAACCCCCCCUGCAUUGUUCCAAUACGCAAAAGCACUUUCAGUCAAUAAGCUUUCCAUUUUAGCCAGCCAGUUUUCAACUGAAGUCAAUGGGCAGAUUGAUUAAAAACAUUUUUUUUUUUUUAAAUAAACAUAAAUAUUUCACAUUAAUUUCACGUAAAAACAACAUUUAGUAAAACAUUGUGUUUAGACGGGGGGCUGACACAGCAGGGUAGGAACACACACCAUACACACACCAUACACACACACACAUACACACACCAUACACACACCAUACACACACCAUACACACACACCAUACACACACACACACCUUACACACACACACACCUUACACACACCAUACACACACACACCUUCAGCCUCUCUCAAGUCAUUGGUAAAGGGGUGAAGGACAAUCAGCCUCCAUCUAUACACAAUGUUUGACUAAAUGUUUUUUGUUUGACAUGAAAUUUUUCUUUAAAAAAACAAUCUGUCCAUUGACUUCAGUUAACUGGCUAAAUCUGGCACACAAACUGCAAUGUUGAUUGAUGUUCAAAUGAAAUGUAGUUUGUGCUACAAGGGUAGGCAACCCUGGUGGGUUGGAUUUAGCCAAUCACAGGGCUAAGCUAUAUUUGUAUUAGUUCCUGUUGUAUUCCAGGAACAGGGUUACCUUCCCCUGUUAUAUGUACAGAAGAGAAUGUGAAGUAUUAUAAAAUAAUACCAGUUUUAUUUUUUAUAUUUUUCAUCCUGUAAAUAAAAAUCCUUCAUUCUAA